Molecule: long non-coding RNA, 134 nt
Organism: Perca flavescens (yellow perch)
Lineage: Eukaryota; Metazoa; Chordata; Actinopteri; Perciformes; Percidae
Exons: 3
Source: RefSeq, a predicted model, not a curated record
AGCAGCGUUAAGUUGCAGCCAACCUCGACCGAGAUUUCAAUUGAGCAGGAGGUCACAUUGCCCACCACACCAAGGCGGAUCAUGCUAGGAAGAAGUUUGACGUCUUCCACCCAUUGGAUGGUCAGCAUUGAGGG